UUGGAAUUCUCCCUAGAGCUUUGCUAGAGGCUGACUUGGAACCUGUGUGUUGUGUUCCAUCUUAACCUUGUCUUUUCCACCCCAUUCCCACCCAUGCAUGUCUCAGCAUUGAGCUUUGUGAAGAAGAUGACCUGUCAGCAUCAAUGGAGGAGCUGUCCUUCCUGGGUUCUCAGCAACCAUUUCCACCAUCACCAGAAGAAGAUCAGCUGAAUUCCUCUGUCCCUGCGAUUGAGCCUCAAGCAAGAUCUCUGCCUGAUGAAACCACUCCCCUCCUGGCAGCCUGGCCCCAAGAGCUUCCCGGUGGACCACUUCGCCACCUUGUGUCCGAGGAGCAUGGGGACCCAUGCAUCCCUGAAAACCACUGUGUGCAGACACAGCUGUGUCAUGGAGUUGGCAAAGCCACCCUGAGCCUUUCCUCUGGCCCCUGGAGAUUUUCAGCCCACACUGAUCCUGGAGAGCAGUGGCUGCUCUCUCCAGAGCCAAAUUCGGAGGCCUCCGUUGGAUUGAGGAACCCACCUGAGAUGGAGCACGCUGUUCCCCCAGAGUAA
This 548-nucleotide long non-coding RNA is filed under the name Cavia porcellus (domestic guinea pig). RNAcentral describes it as "lncRNA (ENSCPOG00000033216.1)". Lineage: Eukaryota; Metazoa; Chordata; Mammalia; Rodentia; Caviidae. The record is from RNAcentral.